RNAcentral lists this ribosomal RNA (254 nucleotides) under uncultured bacterium. RNAcentral's name for it is "partial 16S ribosomal RNA". It matches the Rfam family "Bacterial small subunit ribosomal RNA", at positions 524 to 776 of the family's 1533-position model. The record is from RNAcentral.
UACGUAGGGGGCGAGCGUUGUCCGAAGUUACUGGGCGUAAAGCGCGCGUAGGCGGGGGAUUAAGUGAGAGGUGAAAGGCUGGGGCUCAACCCCAUGCAGUGCCUCUCAUACUGGUUCUCUUGAGGGCGGUAGGGAGAAGUGGAAUGGCUGGUGUAGCGGUGAAAUGCGUAGAUAUCGUCCAGAACACCGAUAGCGAAGGCAGCUUACUAAGGAGUAACUGACGCUGAGGCACGAAAGUGUGGGGAUCAAACAGG